This 130-nucleotide ribosomal RNA is filed under the name Sphaerochaeta sp. Its description in RNAcentral is "partial 23S ribosomal RNA". It matches the Rfam family "Bacterial large subunit ribosomal RNA", at positions 2651 to 2779 of the family's 2925-position model. Lineage: Bacteria; Pseudomonadati; Spirochaetota; Spirochaetia; Spirochaetales; Sphaerochaetaceae. The record is from RNAcentral.
GCGCAAGGGAUUUGAAGGGAGCUGCCUCUAGUACGAGAGGACCGAGGUGGACGAACCUCUGGUGUACCAGUUGUCGUGCCAACGGCAAGCGCUGGGUAGCUACGUUCGGAAGGGAUAACCGCUGAAAGCA